AGGUCAAAUAUAAACUUUAUCCUGUUUCAAGAAGCCUACCUUCAGUCAAGUUCAAGCAGCAGUCGGAUUCUGUUGAGUGGAGUUUGAACCGGUAGUUUCUAGUAUUUUAAAAUUUCAGUGUAAUUUGCAAUGUGUUUUUUUACAAAAUAACAUAUAUCCACGAUGGCUUUUAUAAUUGUUAGUUAACAUUCAUUAUCGAUCCAUAAUUGAAUUACAUAUACAAUUACAGUUUUAGCUAAAGUGAUGAAAUCAAACGACACGGUUUAAUCGA
This is a long non-coding RNA of Apis dorsata (giant honeybee), 271 nucleotides long. RefSeq lists it as uncharacterized. NCBI's taxonomy places the organism in Eukaryota, Metazoa, Arthropoda, Insecta, Hymenoptera, Apidae. The transcript is spliced from 3 exons. The record is from RefSeq and is a predicted model, not a curated record.